RNAcentral lists this long non-coding RNA (983 nucleotides) under Anser brachyrhynchus (Pink-footed goose). Its description in RNAcentral is "lncRNA (ENSABRG00000006695.1)". Lineage: Eukaryota; Metazoa; Chordata; Aves; Anseriformes; Anatidae. The record is from RNAcentral.
GUAAAAGAAUUGAAUGGAGAAGACUUAUGCCAAAGAUGACACAUGCACCACAGCUCUGUCACACUCUUCAGUGAAGUAUGUAGGAGAUGGAGAGGCUUCCUUGAGUCUCCAGAAAGGAACUGACAUGUGGAACUAAUAAUCAGAGAACAUGUCUCAACAGGAGAGCUGAACUCUUAAGAGGAAUAAUGGCCUCCCAGUUGUCACAGCGAAGCUCAAGGGCAAACAUAACCAUAGGACCUGGAGCACAGCCUGAUAGAAAAGGAGGCAAGACGUGAAAUAACAGAAGAUGGCAUUGAACACUGAGGUGAUAAAUAUGACAGCUACUGUACUCCUAAGGCCAGGAUGGAAAAACUUAUAAAAUCAGUAUGAUUCAGUGGAGAUGUAUAUAUAUUGUGAUAGGUUUAUCUAAACAGCAUUAUUAAGCAAUAUUUUUAUGUGCAAUACUAGUUAAGUAGUCUGCUGAUCCUUUACAGUAAAACCAGUAGACAUAAAGAGGUUGGACUCUGUUCUAUUAAACUGUACAGAUACUGAGUAACCUAGGCUCAAGCAUACCAUCCCAUUAACUUCAACAUAAAAGGUACCUAGACUUUUAGUUUAUGAGGAUAUUGGAAAUACUACAGGCAAGGAGGAUCAAUCACAAUGUUGUUUUUGCUGCGAUCAAUAGAAGACCUCUGUGACAAUAAGCUGUGAAAUGGUUUUCCAGAACAGCUUAUAUGUUUAAAGAGUAAAAUACGUCCCUUCAUGUGGCACUGCUACCAAAUAGAGGAUUUAAUUCAACCAUUAUUUUCCCUCUAGAGAGCAGAAUGUUGCAGCCUCCUGAUCUGACCCUCGCUGUUGUUUACUUCCUCAUUAAAGCCCUAUGAGUAUGCUGCACUUUGAUAUAAUGCACACAAUAUGCAGUUAUAAAUUUCCUUGACAGGCACUGUCUCUGGUUUAUCUAGUGAAUGCUAUUAUCAAGAUCCUAGUCCCGACUGAGCCCUCUG